GUCUCCGAUAGCAACGAACGUGACCGUACUCUAUUGUUGCAGCGACAAUACCUUUCAACGGGUAUUACCGCUGCUUAGCAAGAUUCGUCUUGCAUUAAACUAUAGAGACCGCUGUUUCUUCUUUAAACCAGAGGAAGGAUACGGCAAUAACAGGUCUGUGAUGCCCUCAGAUGUUCCGGGCUGCACACGUGCUAC
This 195-nucleotide non-coding RNA is filed under the name Ceratocystis platani. Its description in RNAcentral is "Eukaryotic small subunit ribosomal RNA". It matches the Rfam family "Eukaryotic small subunit ribosomal RNA", at positions 1313 to 1501 of the family's 1831-position model. Lineage: Eukaryota; Fungi; Ascomycota; Sordariomycetes; Microascales; Ceratocystidaceae. The record is from Rfam by way of RNAcentral.